AGGUGGUGCAUGGUUGUCGUCAGCUCGUGUCGUGAGAUGUUGGGUUAAGUCCCGCAACGAGCGCAACCCUUAUUGUUAGUUGCCAUCAUUUAGUUGGGCACUCUAGCGAGACUGCCGGUGACAAACCGGAGGAAGGUGGGGAUGACGUCAAAUCAUCAUGCCCCUUAUGACCUGGGCUACACACGUGCUACAAUGGGAAGUACAACGAGUCGCUAGACCGCGAGGUCAUGCAAAUCUCUUAAAGCUUCUCUCAGUUCGGAUUGCAGGCUGCAACUCGCCUGCAUGAAGCCGGAAUCGCUAGUAAUCGCGGAUCAGCACGCCGCGGUGAAUACGUUCCCGGGCCUUGUACACACCGCCCGUCACACCACGAGAGUUUGUAACACCCGAAGUCGGUGAGGUAACCUUUUUGGAGCCAGCCGCCUAAGGUGGGAUAGAUGAUUGGGGUGAAGUCGUAACAAGGUAGCCGUAUCGGAAGGUGCGGCUGGAUCACCUCCUUU
RNAcentral lists this ribosomal RNA (497 nucleotides) under Enterococcus faecalis. Its description in RNAcentral is "bacterial SSU rRNA". It matches the Rfam family "Bacterial small subunit ribosomal RNA", at positions 1036 to 1533 of the family's 1533-position model. The record is from RNAcentral. Lineage: Bacteria; Bacillati; Bacillota; Bacilli; Lactobacillales; Enterococcaceae.